This is a non-coding RNA of Oryza meridionalis, 199 nucleotides long. The record is from Rfam. Lineage: Eukaryota; Viridiplantae; Streptophyta; Magnoliopsida; Poales; Poaceae.
UCCUAUCGUAGUCAUGAGUUUUCGUGUCUAAUUUCGAUUGUCCAUCUUAUUUAAUUUUUUUAUGAUUAAUAUUUUUGUUGUUAUUAGAUGAUAAAACAUGAAUAGUACGCGUGACUUAUGUUUUUUAAUUUUUUCAAAAAUUUUUAAAUAAGACAUAUAUAAUUAAAGUUGGAUCCGAAAAUUUAUGACUAGGUUUAAA